This 786-nucleotide ribosomal RNA is filed under the name Salmonella enterica subsp. enterica serovar Typhimurium. RNAcentral describes it as "partial 23S ribosomal RNA". It matches the Rfam family "Bacterial large subunit ribosomal RNA", at positions 845 to 1547 of the family's 2925-position model. Lineage: Bacteria; Pseudomonadati; Pseudomonadota; Gammaproteobacteria; Enterobacterales; Enterobacteriaceae. The record is from RNAcentral.
AUAGCUGGUUCUCCCCGAAAGCUAUUUAGGUAGCGCCUCGUGAAUUCAUCUCCGGGGGUAGAGCACUGUUUCGGCUAGGGGGCCAUCCCGGCUUACCAACCCGAUGCAAACUGCGAAUACCGGAGAAUGUUAUCACGGGAGACACACGGCGGGUGCUAACGUCCGUCGUGAAGAGGGAAACAACCCAGACCGCCAGCUAAGGUCCCAAAGUCAUGGUUAAGUGGGAAACGAUGUGGGAAGGCCCAGACAGCCAGGAUGUUGGCUUAGAAGCAGCCAUCAUUUAAAGAAAGCGUAAUAGCUCACUGGUCGAGUCGGCCUGCGCGGAAGAUGUAACGGGGCUAAACCAUGCACCGAAGCUGCGGCAGCGAACGUAUCACCCAAGACAACUUUACGGAGUUGACGAUUGACGGAGCGAAGCGACGUCAAAGCGUUCAUUAAAGUCGAGUUGGCUUAGGGAUACGUUCGUUGGGUAGGGGAGCGUUCUGUAAGCCUGUGAAGGUGUGUCGUGAGGCAUGCUGGAGGUAUCAGAAGUGCGAAUGCUGACAUAAGUAACGAUAAAGCGGGUGAAAAGCCCGCUCGCCGGAAGACCAAGGGUUCCUGUCCAACGUUAAUCGGGGCAGGGUGAGUCGACCCCUAAGGCGAGGCCGAAAGGCGUAGUCGAUGGGAAACGGGUUAAUAUUCCCGUACUUGGUGUUACUGCGAAGGGGGGACGGAGAAGGCUAUGUUGGCCGGGCGACGGUUGUCCCGGUUUAAGCGUGUAGGUGUGUGUUCCAGGUAAAUCCGGUU